Molecule: ribosomal RNA, 437 nt
Filed under: Acanthamoeba jacobsi
Lineage: Eukaryota; Discosea; Longamoebia; Acanthamoebidae
Description: SSU rRNA
Rfam family: Eukaryotic small subunit ribosomal RNA
Source: RNAcentral
AUCGUGCUCACGCAUGGCAGACCAUGUCACUUCGUCCACCGAAUACAUUAGCAUGGGAUAAUGGAAUAGGACCCUGUCCUCCUAUUUUGCGUGUUGGUUUUCGAGGACCGGGUAAUGAUUAAUAGGGAUAGUUGGGGGCAUUAAUAUUUAAUUGUCAGAGGUGAAAUUCUUGGAUUUAUGAAAGAUUGACUUCUGCGAAAGCAUCUGCCAAGGAUGUUUUCAUUAAUCAAGAACGAAAGUUAGGGGAUCGAAGACGAUCAGAUACCGUCGUAGUCUUAACCAUAAACGAUGCCGACCAGCGAUUAGGAGACGUUGAAUACAAAACACCACCGUCGGGUCGGCCGUCCUUGGCCGUCGUGCGCGGCGACGCGCGCGGCGGCGAGGGCGGUGUCUGCCCGACGGCCCGGUGAAUGACUCCCCUAGCAGCCUUGUGAGAA